UUUAAAUUUUUUGAUCGUUGGUGAAUCAGUCGGAAGGAGUCAUUACAAGGACUCUAUAACUUAGGUGCCAAACCCCUGUGAACCGUGUUCUGAAGAAGUUGUCUCGGCGGGUGGUGUUAGCGGUCUUACGGCUGCUAAACCCGCUACGGUCGGCUCCGCCGGCCGCCCUGGCCCCGCCGGACGACGCAAACUCAAAUUUUGUUAUGGUGCAUUCAAAUACCUGUGGGCUCAAAUAGAAACAAAACUUUCAACAACGGAUCUCUUGGCUCUGGCAUCGAUGAAGAACGCAGCGAAAUGCGAUAAGUAAUGUGAAUUGCAGAAUUCAGUGGAAUCAUCGAAUCUUUGAACGCACAUUGCGCCCAGUGGUAUUCCACCGGGCAUGCCUGUUCGAGCGUCAUUUCGGCCCUCAACCCCUAUUAGCUUCGGCGGAUAGGGCGUUGGUGUUGGGGGAUUAGCGCACCGCUAACCCCUGAAAUUCAACGGCGUGUUCGCUGUCGGACUCUUUGCGUAGUGGAUUAACAAUUUCUCGCACCGAGUUUGUAGCGGACGUGGCCGCUAAACCGUCACUAGACACACUAGCUUUUGACCUCGAAUUCAGGUAGGGUUACCCGCUGAACUUAAGCAUAUCAAUAAGCGGAGGAAAAGAAACCAACAGGGAUUGCCUCAGUAACGGCGAGUGAAGCGGCAACAGCUCAAAUUUGAAAUCUGGUGCCUUUCGGCGCCCGAGUUGUAAUUUGCAGAGGAUGCUUUUGGCGAGAUGCCCGGCCCAAGUUCCCUGGAACGGGGCGCCACAGAGGGUGAGAGCCCCGUACGGCCAGGCGUCGAGCCUCUAUAAUGCUCCUUCUACGAGUCGAGUAGUUUGGGAAUGCUGCUCAAAAUGGGAGGUAAACUCCUUCUAAAGCUAAAUAUUGGCCAGAAGACCGAUAGCGCACAAGUAGAGUGAUCGAAAGAUGAAAAGCACUUUGAAAAGAGAGUUCAAAUAGCCACGUGAAAAUUGUUGAAAGGGAAGCGCUCAUGAUCAGACUGGGGCUUGGUGGUUCAGCCGUCCUUCUGGGGCGGUGCACCUCCGCCGGUUCCGGCCAGCAUCAAGUUGCUGGUAGGGGAUAACUGUAGUGGGAAUGUGGGCCCUGCGGGGUGUUAUAGCCCCCCUACCGUAAUGUCCUGUCCGGCGAACUGAGGUUAGCUUCUUCGCGAUGCGGGAUAUGGUUUAACAACCUUUUAAAAACCGAAAAAAA
RNAcentral lists this ribosomal RNA (1235 nucleotides) under Ascomycota sp. L209. RNAcentral describes it as "eukaryotic LSU rRNA". The stretch from base 584 to 1235 matches the Rfam family "Eukaryotic large subunit ribosomal RNA", at positions 1 to 606 of the family's 3401-position model. Lineage: Eukaryota; Fungi; Ascomycota. The record is from RNAcentral.